UGGGGAAUCUUGCACAAUGGAGGAAACUCUGAUGCAGCGACGCCGCGUGAGCGAAGAAGCCUUUCGGGGUGUAAAGCUCUUACGCCAGGGACGAUAAUGACGGUACCUGGAGAAGCAGCUGCGGCUAACUACGUGCCAGCAGCCGCGGUAAUACGUAGGCAGCAAGCGCUGUUCGGAAUUACUGGGCGUAAAGGGUGCGUAGGCGGCGCUCUAAGUUUGGUGUGAAAUCUCCCGGCUUAACUGGGAGGGUGCACUGAAAACUGGGGCGCUCGAGUACGGGAGAGGAAAGCGGAAUUCCUGGUGUAGCGGUGAAAUGCGUAGAGAUCAGGAGGAACACCUGCGGUGCAGACGGCUUUCUGGACCAUCACUGACGCUGAGGCACGAAAGCGUGGGUAGCAAACA
RNAcentral lists this ribosomal RNA (402 nucleotides) under uncultured bacterium. RNAcentral's name for it is "bacterial SSU rRNA". It matches the Rfam family "Bacterial small subunit ribosomal RNA", at positions 355 to 774 of the family's 1533-position model. The record is from RNAcentral.